UAAAUUGAUCCAAUCCAAGUU
This is a non-coding RNA of Caenorhabditis elegans, 21 nucleotides long. The record is from Ensembl. Lineage: Eukaryota; Metazoa; Nematoda; Chromadorea; Rhabditida; Rhabditidae.